CUCGUAGGCGGUUCGACAAGUCGGGUGUGAAACCUCCAGGCUCAACCUGGAGUCGCCACUCGAAACUGUUGUGACUAGAGUCCGGUAGGGGAGCAUGGAAUUCCUGGUGUAGCGGUGGAAUGCGCAGAUAUCAGGAGGAACACCAGCGGCGAAGGCGAUGCUCUGGGCCGGUACUGACGCUGAGGAGCGAAAGCAUGGGGAGCGAACA
Molecule: ribosomal RNA, 208 nt
Filed under: uncultured bacterium
Lineage: Bacteria
Description: partial 16S ribosomal RNA
Rfam family: Bacterial small subunit ribosomal RNA
Source: RNAcentral